UUUUUGCCGUAAGAUACGGUUGCAGAAACAUUAUGAACAAAAUAAGUUAUAAAUAACGCAAAAAAACACAUAAUAGCACAAUUGGUUGGGCGCCAUAAAACUGCUGCCAUUUUAAUCAGGACCAGUGUGGUGGUACAGGCUGGGAAGGCUGAGGGUUAUAUGGACCAGUGUGGUGGUACAGGCUGGGAAGGCUGAGGGUUAUAUGGACCAGUGUGGUGGUACAGGCUGGGAAGGCUGAGGGUUGUAUGGACCAGUGUGGUAGGUACAGGCUGGGAAGGCUGAGGGUUAUAUGGACCAGUGUGGUGGUACAGGCUGGGAAGGCUGAGGGUUAUAUGGACCAGUGUGGUGGUACAGGCUGGGAAGGCUGAGGGUUAUAUGGACCAGUGUGGUGGUACAGACUGGCAAGGCUGAGGGUUAUAUGGACCAGUGUGGUGGUACAGGCUGGGAAGGCUGAGGGUUAUAUGGACCAGUGUGGUAGGUACAGACUGGGAAGGCUGAGGGUUAUAUGGACCAGUGUGGUGGUACAGACUGGGAAGGCUGAGGGUUAUAUGGACCAGUGUGGUGGUACAGGCUGGGAAGGCUGAGGGUUAUAUGGACCAGUGUGGUAGGUACAGGCUGGGAAGGCUGAGGGUUAUAUGGACCAGUGUGGUAGGUACAGGAUGGGAAGGCUGAGGGUUAUAUGGACCAGACAUUUAGUGGGUGCUAGAAUAAAAGCUGUGUACGGUACUCACGCCUGGCAGCAUGACAUGUCCCCGUUGGUUUGACAAUAGCAGUUCAUGCAAUCACUGGUCCUCCAGCGGGACCCAAUAUCAUGCCACGUCCCAUCCUUGUUGUAAAGACACUGCCUCAUACCUAUACAAUACAUGCCUAUUCAAUAUAUCAUAUCAAUGUGUUUGUUGUCUUUUUCAAUGAGAUUCAAGAUUCAAGUGUAUUAAAAACAUCAUUGCAUAACAAUAUGAAAUGUCCUUUACAGGUCAUAAAAUAAAAUACAAAAAUAAAACCCUAAAAUCACAUAAUGAUUUGGAACAAGAGGUUAUUUUAUUAGGUUGAUAAAUGUACAGGAGUGUGUACAGGAGUGUGUGUGUGUGCGUGCGUGCGUGCGUGCAUGUUACAACACCAUUUACUUUUGCCCAGAGCCCUAUGGUUGUGUGUGUGCGCG
This 1159-nucleotide long non-coding RNA is filed under the name Salmo salar (Atlantic salmon). Its description in RNAcentral is "lncRNA (ENSSSAG00000104967.1)". Lineage: Eukaryota; Metazoa; Chordata; Actinopteri; Salmoniformes; Salmonidae. The record is from RNAcentral.